Non-coding RNA from Triticum urartu, 2347 nucleotides. NCBI's taxonomy places the organism in Eukaryota, Viridiplantae, Streptophyta, Magnoliopsida, Poales, Poaceae. The record is from RefSeq and is a predicted model, not a curated record.
ACAUAUCCUGCUAUGAAUAAUAGGGAAAGUCACUAUUCAAAUGAGAACUUGAAAUUCCUAUUGUUUACAACAUGGCCUUUUCUCUUUUGUUUGUCAAGAAAGGGUUAAAUCUGGAUACAGAAAUUUCUUGCAUGCUAGGCUCAUAGUUCACCACGUUGUUCCGUGAUUUUUGUGUGAUUUUCUGAGGUUUCUAAUGUACUGUGUGUUGCUAGCAACUUAUGAAGGCAUACUAGCUUUCCCUUGAUUCCUAACAUGCAUGAUUUCUCUUAAUACAAGAAUUAUGUAUAUAUUUUCACAAACUUGUUUGCCUGUCAAAUCUAAGCUUUGCUUUAUCAGUCACUCCACCCAAUUAAUUUGAAUUAUAAUGAUUAAUCACAUAAAUACAUAUUACUGGAAAAUGACUCGCUCAAAAUGGUUACUUGAGGAGUUUGGUGUUUUAGCUUGUUCAACUUGCUUAAAUCUACUUGCAGGUUGAUUUUUCUGCAGAGUUUGUGAACUAGGACUGCACAGGACUGUACGGGCAGGUACUGAUUCUUCUCCAAGAAGGGUUAUCAGGGGAGGAGGGGCAUACAGAGGCAGGGCACAAAUGGGCACACAAAUAGUUUAAGGUUGAUUUUUCUGCAGAGUUUGUGAACUAGGACUGCACAGGACUGUACGGGCAGGUACUGAUUCUUCUCCAAGAAGGGUUAUCAGGGGAGGAGGGGCAUACAGAGGCAGGGCACAAAUGGGCACGCAAAUAGUUUAAGGUACAUCUGCCAUGUAUAAAGUUAGAUUCUACUCACACCCUAAAAAAAUACAUAUCCUGCUAUGAAUAAUAGGGAAAGUCACUAUUCAAAUGAGAACUUGAAAUUCCUAUUGUUUACAACAUGGCCUUUUCUCUUUUGUUUGUCAAGAAAGGGUUAAAUCUGGAUACAGAAAUUUCUUGCAUGCUAGGCUCAUAGUUCACCACGUUGUUCCGUGAUUUUUGUGUGAUUUUCUGAGGUUUCUAAUGUACUGUGUGUUGCUAGCAACUUAUGAAGGCAUACUAGCUUUCCCUUGAUUCCUAACAUGCAUGAUUUCUCUUAAUACAAGAAUUAUGUAUAUAUUUUCACAAACUUGUUUGCCUGUCAAAUCUAAGCUUUGCUUUAUCAGUCACUCCACCCAAUUAAUUUGAAUUAUAAUGAUUAAUCACAUAAAUACAUAUUACUGGAAAAUGACUCGCUCAAAAUGGUUACUUGAGGAGUUUGGUGUUUUAGCUUGUUCAACUUGCUUAAAUCUACUUGCAGGUUGAUUUUUCUGCAGAGUUUGUGAACUAGGACUGCACAGGACUGUACGGGCAGGUGAGCUCAACCUCCUCUCUUUUCAUUAUCUCUAUUGUGCAUGUCUAUAUAUAAUAUGUUAGCGCAACAUAAGUCAUGAGCUGUCUAGUGAAUUAGUCGACAAUAAAUGUUGUAAACAAUAAAUGAAAAACAUUACGAAAAAUGAAAAAGGCACACACUUGUCAACGAUAAAGCAAAGUUUUCGUGGGUAUACCUGUAAAACAGCGCUAAGACCUCACCUUUUGGAAAUAAUUACAAUUAUGAAAACAUGGAUCAAAUUGCUGAAUUGAAUAAAUUUGGUGCUAUCAUAUACCUACCAUGUUCAUGACUAGAGGUAAGCGGAACCAAAUCAGUGACACCUGUUAUAGGGUGAACCACCACCUCUGAAAAUGUAUUAUGCGAAAAUGAUUCCCUCAAUCAAAUUGGCUAGUUGAAGUUAGAGUUUGAUGUUUUAGCUUGUUUGACUUUAAAUUGGCCAGUGGGCCGCAUUUAAGCCAGCCCAUUAGCUUAAAAAUUAUCUUAAAUAGGGGUAUCCUAUAUUUAAGUAAAGGUAAAUGAUCUUGUGUGUUCUAUAUGAUACUGUGAUGGAGAAUUAUAAAAAAUUAAGUAGGGCAUCCUAUAUUUGAGUGUAAAAUUUUAGUAUGGCAAACUGGUCCUCCGAGCAAGUUUUCUUUUCCAUUAUACUGCCUUUUCUCCUAUCCCAGUGAAAGUCCUAAAAGUGCCCUAACAGUAUCUCAAAUGCUGGUACUAUUACAUAGUUACUAUAUAAGCUAUAUAUACUGCUAAGUGAAUGACUGGCCAUGAUCGCGGUUUUUUUUCUUGACAGUUAGGAUCAAUAGCAUGGUUGCUGUAGUAGCAUUCAGACAUGAUUCUAUUGCUCAUAGAGGCCAUAUUUGUGUCUCUGAGAAAGCUUGUUGCUUAUCAAAUAGGAGUACAUAUUCUGCUAUUGUGAGUUUGCACAUUAAAACACAUUGGAAGGAUAAAUAUCAGACAAAUGAGCAUGAAAGUUGGCCUCCUCAAAUUAUUGCUCUUUAGCUCUCCCUAUUAAA